CAUUCACUGGGCAAGCCGACUGUGAGCCAGGAAGUGCUCUUGGGGAGCCCAGGCCAAGCCAUCCAUUCCUGGGUCCUUUGGAGGGAGAUAGGCUUGGUCCUGCUCCAUCUGCAGCACCGUGUGUGGACGAAGCAUUGACCUGGGAAUCAGGAUGUGUCGGAUCUGAUCUUGGCCCUGCUGCACAUCCUGUGCAACCUUGGGCCUCUCUCAGCCCUGAGGGCUGGCAGAGAGGAGGUCCUUUUUGGCCCCAGGUGACUCUUAACUCCCAGGACAGAGGUGAGCCCUAAUAAGGGGGUUUGGGAAAUUGGGUCCUGGGAGGAGUUGGAAUUUGGAGUGGGGACAAAGAUCAUUCUUGGAUCCAUGGUUGCCAUUAAUGGGUCCCAUUAUAUUGUGUUUAAGCCAGACAGACUUGGGGUUAAAUCCUGCCUCUUUAAAAUGAAAUGAAGGAAACGUACAAAAGGACCAGCAUUUCUUACCGCUGGGUAUUAAUGGUUUAGCAAAGGUCCUGAGCCCUUAGUUGCCUGGAGGCUUGAGUCCUGGGAGCCCGCUGUCUGCUGCCUCUGCAAGUGGGAGAGGUCACUGCCCG
Molecule: small RNA, 586 nt
Filed under: Pan troglodytes (chimpanzee)
Lineage: Eukaryota; Metazoa; Chordata; Mammalia; Primates; Hominidae
Description: processed transcript
Source: RNAcentral